RNAcentral lists this ribosomal RNA (2352 nucleotides) under Salmonella enterica. RNAcentral describes it as "bacterial LSU rRNA". It matches the Rfam family "Bacterial large subunit ribosomal RNA", at positions 594 to 2841 of the family's 2925-position model. The record is from RNAcentral. Lineage: Bacteria; Pseudomonadati; Pseudomonadota; Gammaproteobacteria; Enterobacterales; Enterobacteriaceae.
UGACUGCGUACCUUUUGUAUAAUGGGUCAGCGACUUAUAUUCUGUAGCAAGGUUAACCGCAUAGGGGAGCCGGAGGGAAACCGAGUCUUAAUUGGGCGUUAAGUUGCAGGGUAUAGACCCGAAACCCGGUGAUCUAGCCAUGGGCAGGUUGAAGGUUGGGUAACACUAACUGGAGGACCGAACCGACUAAUGUUGAAAAAUUAGCGGAUGACCUGUGGCUGGGGGUGAAAGGCCAAUCAAACCGGGAGAUAGCUGGUUCUCCCCGAAAGCUAUUUAGGUAGCGCCUCGUGAAUUCAUCUCCGGGGGUAGAGCACUGUUUCGGCCAGGGGGCCAUCCCGGCUUACCAAUCCGAUGCAAACUGCGAAUACCGGAGAAUGUUAUCACGGGAGACACACGGCGGGUGCUAACGUCCGUCGUGAAGAGGGAAACAACCCAGACCGCCAGCUAAGGUCCCAAAGUCAUGGUUAAGUGGGAAACGAUGUGGGAAGGCCCAGACAGCCAGGAUGUUGGCUUAGAAGCAGCCAUCAUUUAAAGAAAGCGUAAUAGCUCACUGGUCGAGUCGGCCUGCGCGGAAGAUGUAACGGGGCUAAACCAUGCACCGAAGCUGCGGCAGCGAACGUAUCACCCAAGACAACUUUGCACAGUGACGAUUGACGGAGCGAAGCGACGUCAAAGCGUUUUACAACGUCGAGUUGGCUUAGGGAUACGUUCGUUGGGUAGGGGAGCGUUCUGUAAGCCGUUGAAGGUGUGUCGUGAGGCAUGCUGGAGGUAUCAGAAGUGCGAAUGCUGACAUAAGUAACGAUAAAGCGGGUGAAAAGCCCGCUCGCCGGAAGACCAAGGGUUCCUGUCCAACGUUAAUCGGGGCAGGGUGAGUCGACCCCUAAGGCGAGGCCGAAAGGCGUAGUCGAUGGGAAACGGGUUAAUAUUCCCGUACUUGGUGUUACUGCGAAGGGGGGACGGAGAAGGCUAUGUUGGCCGGGCGACGGUUGUCCCGGUUUAAGCGUGUAGGUGUGUGUUCCAGGUAAAUCCGGUUCACUUUAACACUGAGGCGUGACGACGAGGCACUACGGUGCUGAAGCAACAAAUGCCCUGCUUCCAGGAAAAGCCUCUAAGCCUCAGGUAACAUCAAAUCGUACCCCAAACCGACACAGGUGGUCAGGUAGAGAAUACCAAGGCGCUUGAGAGAACUCGGGUGAAGGAACUAGGCAAAAUGGUGCCGUAACUUCGGGAGAAGGCACGCUGACACGUAGGUGAAGUGGUUUACCCAUGGAGCUGAAGUCAGUCGAAGAUACCAGCUGGCUGCAACUGUUUAUUAAAAACACAGCACUGUGCAAACACGAAAGUGGACGUAUACGGUGUGACGCCUGCCCGGUGCCGGAAGGUUAAUUGAUGGGGUCAGCGCAAGCGAAGCUCCUGAUCGAAGCCCCGGUAAACGGCGGCCGUAACUAUAACGGUCCUAAGGUAGCGAAAUUCCUUGUCGGGUAAGUUCCGACCUGCACGAAUGGCGUAAUGAUGGCCAGGCUGUCUCCACCCGGGACUCAGUGAAAUUGAACUCGCUGUGAAGAUGCAGUGUACCCGCGGCAAGACGGAAAGACCCCGUGAACCUUUACUAUAGCUUGACACUGAACACUGGUCCUUGAUGUGCAGGAUAGGUGGGAGGCUUUGAAGUGUGGACGCCAGUCUGCAUGGAGCCAUCCUUGAAAUACCACCCUUUAAUGGCUGGUGUUCUAACGUGGGCCCGUGAACCGGGUUGCGGACAGUGUCUGGUGGGUAGUUUGACUGGGGCGGUCUCCUCCUAAAGAGUAACGGAGGAGCACGAAGGUUGGCUAAUCCUGGUCGGACAUCAGGAGGUUAGUGCAAUGGCAUAAGCCAGCUUGACUGCGAGCGUGACGGCGCGAGCAGGUGCGAAAGCAGGUCAUAGUGAUCCGGUGGUUCUGAAUGGAAGGGCCAUCGCUCAACGGAUAAAAGGUACUCCGGGGAUAACAGGCUGAUACCGCCCAAGAGUUCAUAUCGACGGCGGUGUUUGGCACCUCGAUGUCGGCUCAUCACAUCCUGGGGCUGAAGUAGGUCCCAAGGGUAUGGCUGUUCGCCAUUUAAAGUGGUACGCGAGCUGGGUUUAGAACGUCGUGAGACAGUUCGGUCCCUAUCUGCCGUGGGCGCUGGAAGAUUGAGGGGGGCUGCUCCUAGUACGAGAGGACCGGAGUGGACGCAUCACUGGUGUUCGGGUUGUCAUGCCAAUGGCACUGCCCGGUAGCUACAUGCGGAAGAGAUAAGUGCUGAAAGCAUCUAAGCACGAAACUUGCCCCGAGAUGAAUCUUCCCUGAGCCUUUAAGGCUCCUGAAGGAACGUUGA